This 132-nucleotide small RNA is filed under the name Klebsiella pneumoniae. Its description in RNAcentral is "RtT sRNA". It matches the Rfam family "RtT RNA". From Rfam's summary of the family: This family represents a bacterial cis-regulatory element known as RtT RNA. The exact function of RtT is unknown although it is thought that it may be involved in changing the cellular response in relation to amino acid starvation. Lineage: Bacteria; Pseudomonadati; Pseudomonadota; Gammaproteobacteria; Enterobacterales; Enterobacteriaceae. The record is from RNAcentral.
UAUUCUGCCCUACAGGGAAGGAUGAGAAGCUUCGACUAAGGUUCGACUCGAGCGAAGCGAGAGAACGUUGCGGCAGGCAACGGCCCGAAGGGCGAGGCGCUUUAGCGCCGAGUAAUCCUUCCCCCACCACCA